CACGUAGGGGGCAAGCGUUGUCCGGAUUUACUGGGCGUAAAGAGCUCGUAGGCGGUUCGGCAAGUCGGGUGUGACAACUCCAGGCUCAACCUGGAGAGGUCACUCGAUACUGCUGUGACUAGAGUCCGGUAGGGGAGCAUGGAAUUCCCGGUGUAGCGGUGAAAUGCGCAGAUAUCGGGAGGAACACCAGUGGCGAAGGCGGUGCUCUGGGCCGGAACUGACGCUGAGGCGCGAAAGCUAGGGGAGCGAACGGG
RNAcentral lists this ribosomal RNA (254 nucleotides) under uncultured bacterium. RNAcentral describes it as "partial 16S ribosomal RNA". It matches the Rfam family "Bacterial small subunit ribosomal RNA", at positions 524 to 776 of the family's 1533-position model. The record is from RNAcentral.